This 591-nucleotide ribosomal RNA is filed under the name uncultured bacterium. RNAcentral's name for it is "bacterial SSU rRNA". It matches the Rfam family "Bacterial small subunit ribosomal RNA", at positions 102 to 680 of the family's 1533-position model. The record is from RNAcentral.
ACGGGUGAGUAACACGUAGGUAACCUGCCUAUGAGACUGGGAUAACUAUCGGAAACGAUAGCUAAGACCGGAUAACUGGUUUUCUCGCAUGAGAGAAUCAUGAAACACGGAGCAAUCUGUGGCUUAUAGAUGGGCCUGCGGCGCAUUAGCUAGUUGGUAGGGUAACGGCCUACCAAGGCGACGAUGCGUAGCCGACCUGAGAGGGUGAACGGCCACACUGGGACUGAGACACGGCCCAGACUCCUACGGGAGGCAGCAGUAGGGAAUCUUCCGCAAUGGACGCAAGUCUGACGGAGCAACGCCGCGUGAGUGAUGAAGGUUUUCGGAUCGUAAAGCCCUGUUGCCCUAGACGAACAGCAUGAGGAGUAACUGCCUUGUGUGUGACGGUAUAGGAGAAGAAAGCCCCGGCUAACUACGUGCCAGCAGCCGCGGUAAUACGUAGGGGGCAAGCGUUGUCCGGAAUUAUUGGGCGUAAAGCGCGCGCAGGCGGUCAAUUAAGUUGGGUGUUUAAGCCCGGGGCUCAACCCCGGUUCGCAUCCAAAACUGGUUGACUUGAGUGUAGGAGAGGAAAGUGGAAUUCCACGUGUAGCG